AGAAAAUGAACAACAAAAGGGAGAUAAAAACCCAACAAAAAAACGGUGAAAAACAGCAAUGAAAUGAUCUUUUAUAAUAUGGAAAUUAAUCCAAUUACUCUAAAAUACAGAAGAAAAUUAGAAAAAGCAAUAGGUACAAAAAUCGUUUUUAAUUGGAAAAAUACCCUCUUCAAUCUUUUACGAAACAACAAGGAUAGAUACGAUCUCACAUCUAUACCAGGGGUUUAUGAGGUUCCAUUAUAUGACAAUGAUCAGCAAGAAAAUCUAAGAUACAUAGAAUACACAUCAAGAUCAUUGAAUAAACGGUUAAAAGAGCACAAGAAAGAUGUACAGAAU
Molecule: long non-coding RNA, 336 nt
Filed under: Androctonus crassicauda
Lineage: Eukaryota; Metazoa; Arthropoda; Arachnida; Scorpiones; Buthidae
Source: RNAcentral